GUCCUGCUUCGGCAUUUCGCUGCUUCCGGAACAAUCCGAUGCUUUUGAAGCAGAAGGGUGGAGUCCUGAGAGGAAUGAAGAAGGGAUGUAGAGAGAGAUCACUCAGGUAAAUACAAUGCCUGACCACUCCAAAGAAACAGAGGGGAUUGAGAGAGAAGAGAAACGAGAUUGGUGGGUCAGGCCGCAGGUAUUGUACCGUCUGUUUGCUCACCCAGCAGGCAGGCAGAUGCACGGCUCUGUUCACUGACACCUGAGCAGUUGAUUAGAUGUAGCGGACAGAACUGCUGCUGCCGGAGACAAUGAUGGGAGCAGAACAUGUGCUGCUGGAAAAAAAGGUUGCAUGGCUUUUCAUAACCCAGAGAAUGAAUACCAUGCGUUUUCCCGUGAAGAUGAGGCUGGCAAUAGAAUGUGAAUGAAUAAAAAUAGGAGGCACUCUGUUGUGACAAUGAACCAAUCAGGACCAAUCAGCAUUUUAUUGCUCAAUAUAUGUUGUUAGAUCCUAAAAUGAUUUGCUGUGGAUACUUAACGAGUUCUCAUUUAUGUGUAAUUUAAAUAUUAACGUCUCAGAUGGUUCUCCUAAAAAUCAAAACCACAUUCAGACAUUCAGAAAAGCUUUAGAGUUUUAGAGACAUCUCAACUGGUUCAUUCAUAUUGAGAUAGAUAUUGGAAACAUUUUACAAUAAGGUCCCAUUAGUUAACGUUAGUUAACUACCAGUGUGCAAUACACUGAAAAAAAAAAAAAAUUUCACCAAAAUAUUGCUAACAAUGGCAUUUCGCUGCAAAAAAAAAAAAAAAUUGGUGCUUGGCUGCACAAGUCAUUUCAACUUAAAUUGUGUUAAACUGACUUUAAAAAUCAAGUUGAUGUUUGCAUAACUUAGAAAAUUAAAAUGAAAUUGGUUAAACUAAGUUUAUGAAUUUAAAAUAAUGGGAAAACAUAUGUUGCCAUGACUUAUUGAUCAUAUAAUUAAUUAACACAUUGAAUUAAACGUAAAAUGUUGAAGUAAAAAAAAUCUGUAAUCUUGUCAAAUGUAAUCCAGUAAUCUUUGUUUUAAUAAGAACUUUCAAAAAUCUAGUGUUUCUUUCAUUGUUAGUUCAUGUUUGCUCAUAUCCAUUAAAUAAAAUUAACAGAUACAACUUUUGAUUUUAAUAAUGUAUUAGUAAUUGUUGGUGUUAACUUUAAUUGGGAAUAAUAAAUUUUCAUUGUUAGUUUAUGUAAUGCAGUUAACCAAUGGAAUCUUAUUGUGAAGUGUUACUGAGAUAUUUUAUGCAAAUCAUCAUUGAGAUAUACCUGAGAUUACAUAGAGGAGAAAACUCUUAGAAGCAUGAGACUUCUCCAUUUAAUCACCAUUUAAUAAAAUAACAAUUAAGGCAUUAAACUGAUCUUUCUUUCAUAUAUGUAGCCUUUUCCGAUUGUCACGGGAUUUUGAUGAAGUCUCAGAUAUCUAUAAUGAACUGAGUCAAUGUAAAUGCACAUGCAUUCACGUAUCGGGUGUUUUGUGCGAAGCAGAAUAACAGUAUGUAGUGUGUGCAGUAUGUGAGUGCUUUAGAGAAGUGAAGGACCCGCACCUGGCCGGGGAGAGCGAGCGAGAGAGGAGGGCAGCUUUAAAGCUUUUACCACUGUGCAAACAGUAGGCUGAUUGCUUUUAAUGGGAUCAACUAGAGGCCUCUGUGAGAUUCAGCCCUGCCCUGACCAACAGCGGGAUGUCGGGAUCCCUGGGACAGAACCUAAAGAUACAGAUGGAUGAUGUUAACCAGGAAGGUCUCCAGACAUCAACAUGAGCAGAGCAACAGAGGAAGUGUGACUGUGAAAAGCUGCGCCAGGCCCACUGAGUUUUGGCAGUUUUGAGACAGAGGCAUUCAACUCUUUCAUAGGCUGUUCUCCUACUCAACAGUGUUCUCCUACUCUUCUCUCAGUGCUACACGAAUGAAGGCCAUCAGCUGGAACGAGUCAUGAUGUACUAUAUGACCUAGUGAUGAGUCUUGUGUUUGAUGAGAGUAUGGCGAAACCAAAGAGAGAAGCGCUGAGCUAACAUAGAGAGUUUGGUUGAGGAUCAGUAUGCAGUUAUGACUUAAAGGAUCUAAAAACCACCAGAUCACUGAUCAUUGAUCUUCCUUUUACUCAUAUGUGACUAAGCGUAUUGCACCAUGCUUUGUUAACCAGGAAGUUUCAAAUCAAACAACAUAAUUUAAAGGGAUAGUUCAUCAAAAAGUGAAAAUUCUGUUAUCGUUUACUCACCCUCAUGUCGUGCCAAAGCAGACAUUCUUGCUUCUUUGGAAUACAGUAUUUUCAAAUGAAAGUCGCAUACAUAUUUACAAUGAAAAUCACAUUCUUGGAACCCAUUGUGUGGACUAAAACACGUGAAACUCCUCAAAAUAACUUUUUUGCAUUCCUGCAGAAGAAAGAAAGUCAUACAUGUUUGAAAUGACACGAGGGUGAGUAAAGAAUGACAAGAUUUUAAUUUCUGAGUCAACUAUCUCUUUAAAUUCUGAAGAGUGGACAGAAAAAGAGGCUGUUCUUCUCUGAAUGUUCUUCUCGAUAAUCUAUUGAUCGUUUGGUCCAUUUAAAUGUGACUCACCGCAUAUGCCAAGGCAGAGCUGGAACUAAUGCAAAUGACACAUUUUCGAGUUAUUUCUGACGUGCAAUGUGCAAAGCAUGCAAAUAAGGGUUCGUAAACUGCAUUUUAUUGAGCGACCCCUGGUUGGGGUAAGUGAUCUCUUGAGCAUUUAUUGUGAAAGUUGGAGAGGUUAAGAGGUGCUUGUGUCGUCCACUGUGGACAGAUAACACUCUUUCAGUCCCCACUCACAGGCCUGGCCCAAAGCCAACUGAUAACACAGUCACAUACCAUCUUUAUUAAUGAUUGGUCAAGUCCCGGGCCGGAGCACGAACCCCCCGGCAGGUAAAAUGAAGGAUCUUUCCGUAAUGACCACGUCUGAGCUCCACCCAACAAAAGCAAUCUGUUCUAACACUGCUAUGGCAACAUUCGUUCAGGAACUAAAGAAAGCAGGCAGAAAAAAAGCUUUAUAAGGAAGCUUACGUCACCAGACAUGGCAUGAAAGGUACUUUAACAUCUUGAUAACAUUAGUUAAUUAGUUAACAGGCAGCAAGACAACUAUAAAACACAAAUUAUGUGGAAAAUUGGGACUUUUUCAUGAGUCUAUCAGGUGACCAGUAACACUUUAUUUUAAGGACCAAUUCUCACUAUUAACUAGCAUGCUUAUUACUAGCAUGUUGGCUGUUUCUUAGUAAUUAUAAAGCACUUAUUAAUGGCUUAUUCUGCAUAUUCUAGAUCCCCUAAUCCAACCCCAUGCCUAAAUUUAACAACUAGCUUACUAACUAUUAAAGGUGGGGUAAGCGAUUCCUGGUAGCCAAUGUUGAUAUCUGAAAUCAUCCAAAACAAACAUGCCCCUGUCCCAAAAGGGUCUCGCCCCUAUUUUGAUAGCUCCGCCCCACACAUACGUAGCCUACGCAACCCAGGCAACGAUUAGUUCUGUGAAACAAAGCAAAACCAAUGUUACACCGUGACUACACCGGACGCAAGCGGCGCAACACAAUACUAUAGAAGUCAUUAUAAUCAGUGAUGCUGUCUACACCAUAGAUAUAUAUGCGUAGAUGCCUCAUUAGCGACUGUUAGCGACAGAAAACUGCUGCCGCAUUCUAUUUAUGACGUGCUGACACAAAUUUCAAAUGAUUUUCAACGGUCGCUUUAUCGCGUCCAGUGUAGUCAGACUUAGCUGUUGUGGCGCGUCCGGUGUAGACACGGUGUAAGGCGCCGAUCACACCGAACGUGUUUUGUAGUUCUGAAAACGCGAGGCGCACCUCACUGUCUUUUUGGUGACUUUUAAAAAAAGAGCAGUGCGCUGCGGUUUUUUUAUGUUGCUAGGCAACCACUAAAUCUGUCCUGUCAGUCUAAUCAGGAUUAUAGCACGAGCUCUCUAAAAUCUUUGGUUUUUGCUUUUAAGUAAACUGUCAUAAUAGCAAAAACCUUAAAAAAUACAGCUCCGGGUAACCCGCGACAGACACCAAAACGUUUCUCCUCCAUCGUUGCAGUCUCCGGACUUUCUAAGCAACCGUAAACUUUCGUCACCACAACGGAAGGCCCGCCUCUCCUUUCAUUCGAUUGGACAAUGGAAAAAAACGUGAUGACGUGGGGCGCUUUUCCGCUCAGAGUUGCUUUUUUUUCAACUUCAGACACUGCAGGUGGCGAAAAAACGCGAGGCGCCUGGGGCGCAGACACAGCGUGCAGAACGCUCACUGCCAACAGAAAACAAAAUGCGUUCGGUGUGAUCGGGGCCUUACUCACCUAUCGAGAAGAAACAAAGCAACCUCGGCGUCCGAUCGCAGGCCUUCAGUUCCUUGAGUUCUCUCCAGCGCUGGAAAGCUGAUCCGAUAUUUACACGGGUCCUACUUCUUGCCUUAUUGUUCUGGAGACGUUUUCCUCUUUUGUUUUUUAUCCGCCAUCUCUAUCUUUCUGUCGCUCGGCUGUCUGUCAUGUGCAGAACGCUCUCUCCUCCACAUCAUGAGUAGACACGCCCCUUACUGCUGAUUGGCUACAAGUUUGUUUUGGUGCUCGCCCCCGACUCAGUUUUCUAAAGUGUUUCUGAAAAAUUACAUACCCCACCUUUAACAAGCAGCAAAUUAGGAGUUUAUUGAGGCAAAAGUCACACUUAAUAGUUAGUUAAUAGUGAGAAAUGGACCUUAAAAUAAAGUAUAACCGAGUGACCUCUUUUUUGGACUUUGCCUAAAAUGUCUAGGAUUUGGCUUUGUGUUGGUAUUGACUUGCUCUCUACAUUCUUUAUACGCAUAAUUGCAUUGCUUGUAAGUCUUGCAUGCCACAAUAGUGUGCUACAGGGUUGAGUCGGUUGAUGUAUUUUUGUUGUCAAAAAUCUAGGAAUUAGCAUUUUAGCAUAUCUGAAUUCAUCGCCCUGAAGUCAAUGGGUUUUUUACAUGGGUUUUUGGUUAAAUGGUUAUAUUUUCCCGUUUUAUUCUAAGACAUAAAAUACAUCAGUAAACCACACUUGUGAGAUUUUAAUUAUAAUUUUUUUUUUACUUUUACUUGUCCUGAAAAAGGUGGUUCUUACAAGUGCCUAGAUGGGACUACAGAGGUUGUUGGGGAUGUGAAACGUCAUCAGGCCAAAAAGAUAAACUCAUCUACUCACUAGUUGCUUUCACAGCCUCAUUGCACUCUUGCAAACUAUUCUAACUCAAACUUUCAGGAAAAAUUUUUUAAAUAACCACAAAGAGUUUAAUGAUGGUAAUGUUGAAGUCAUGUGAUCGUGGUGUCUAUUCUGGUGUAGUUUAUUUAACUUUUUCCAUCUGCCGAUUGUAUUUAUUUAAAUUCAUAAUAGAUUUUUUUCAUUUGAGAAGAUUUUCCCGAUGAGCAAAGCACGUACGAAUCAUAAACUUUUGCUGGUCACAGAGCCAAUGGGAAAAUCCUAUUGGGUUUUUUGUUGAGGGAAUGUGAAAAGUAUUGCAGAGCUUCAGGUACAGUAGUGAAGGACUGAGUAAAACAGUGCCCAAACAAAAAUGUAAAUCCAGGAGAAAUUCCCAUGUAUUUAUCCCAGUUGGGAUCGCUUACAAAAGUGUCUGUGACAAAUAAUGGUGCAAACCAUAUAGUAGCACACAUUAUAGUCUAGCAAAGCACAUAACAUUAGCCACAGGGGUGAGUUUAUGAGUUAAAUUAACUAAAUGAAACACUUUACAAUAAGGUUUGUUAACAUCAGUUAAUGCAUUAGGUAAAGUGAACUAAUUAAGUGCCUUUUUUAUUUUUGAAAAGCACAGUAUGGUCAACCAAAUUUAGUCCAGUUUUGAAUUGCUGGAUUUUUGCAAUCAUAAACCAUAUCUAAAAUAAAACAACUAUUUUACAAGGUGCCAAUUUCAGAUCGAUUCGUAUGAUGUGAUUUGUGCGAAAAAGUAUACUGAAAAACAAAUUAAUAUAAGAUUUACAUAAAAUGACAUUAAAUUAAACAUGAAAUUUUGAAGUAGAAAGACUGAAAUAGUAUUUUCUUAUAAAACAUAUUCCAGUAAAAUUUGCUUUUUAUUCAGAACUUCAAAAAAAAAAAAAAAAUUUUUUUUGCAUGAAGCCCCACCCCUAAACAUGGGGCUCAGUGGAGCAAAUACUUACAAAAUAGUC
Long non-coding RNA from Onychostoma macrolepis, 6131 nucleotides. RefSeq lists it as uncharacterized. The record is from RefSeq and is a predicted model, not a curated record. The transcript is spliced from 3 exons. NCBI's taxonomy places the organism in Eukaryota, Metazoa, Chordata, Actinopteri, Cypriniformes, Cyprinidae.